RNAcentral lists this ribosomal RNA (253 nucleotides) under uncultured bacterium. RNAcentral describes it as "partial 16S ribosomal RNA". It matches the Rfam family "Bacterial small subunit ribosomal RNA", at positions 524 to 776 of the family's 1533-position model. The record is from RNAcentral.
UACGGGGGGAGCAAGCGUUGUUCGGAUUUACUGGGCGUAAAGAGCUCGUAGGCGGCUUGUCACGUCGGGUGUGAAAGCCCAGGGCUUAACCCCGGGUCUGCAUUCGAUACGGGCAGGCUAGAGUGUGGUAGGGGAGAUCGGAAUUCCUGGUGUAGCGGUGAAAUGCGCAGAUAUCAGGAGGAACACCGGUGGCGAAGGCGGAUCUCUGGGCCAUUACUGACGCUGAGGAGCGAAAGCGUGGGGAGCGAACAGG